CCGCUCGAUAAUUUAUAUUCAUGGACUUCAAUAUAUUCAUGUCCCUCUUGGACAAUAAUUUGGUACCAUAAUAUUUGCAAACUCUUGUUUUCUAGUUGCACAUCAGUACAUCUACAAAAUCUUCCAAAACAUUUCAAAAUAUAAAAGUCACAUUAAGUAUAAUAAGAUAAAUAGUGAAACUUAAAAUUGACUUUUAAUCCCAUGUUUGAACAUCCAUUCAACUCUUGUAUUUGACUUCCGUAUUUUGAAGAUAUCCAUUGUGUGGAGCUUCUUUGAAAAUGUUCCAUGUCUACAAACACUUCUAAACAUUUUCACAAAAUAGUAGUGUCACAAUAUAUGAGAAUAACUUAGAUAUAUUUAAACAAAAGUAUGAUAUUUCAAUAUUCAUCCAACUUUUCUUCGAGCAUUGACCAAAGAAAUGAAAACUAUAUUAAAUAGUUUAAUACCUCCACAUUUCAAGUAUAUCCAACUUGUAGCACUUCUUUGCCACAUUUUAAAUUGACCUUCUUCAUGCAAAUGGGAUAGGAUGUUGUUCACUAAAAAGCCAGAAAGUGUCAUCUAAUACAUGAUGUGAAAUUCAAUGUCUAUGACAAUUGGUCAAAAUUAAUUAAAUAGAUUAUCACUUAGUUCAUUUGACAAUACCUUUAUGAGCCUAGUGAUUCUGUUAGCCCGAAUAUAAAUAUUUACAAAUUCUCCCACUUGGAAAACAUAAUCGAAUAUAAUGAUACUAAACGUUGGACAAUAUUCUUUAACAUAACCAUAAAGUAUCAAAUAUGGUUUAACGUGCACUACACCAAAAAUGGUCUAUUGCAACACAUAAAAUGCA
RNAcentral lists this long non-coding RNA (826 nucleotides) under Olea europaea (common olive). RNAcentral describes it as "long non-coding RNA (OEUR_LNC003479)". Lineage: Eukaryota; Viridiplantae; Streptophyta; Magnoliopsida; Lamiales; Oleaceae. The record is from RNAcentral.